Molecule: unclassified non-coding RNA, 359 nt
Filed under: Cynanchum rostellatum
Lineage: Eukaryota; Viridiplantae; Streptophyta; Magnoliopsida; Gentianales; Apocynaceae
Description: contains 5' external transcribed spacer, ETS
Source: RNAcentral
UCAAGUGCGGCAUAGCCCCUUGGCCGAGACCCGGUUUCUUGCGUUGUGUACCCACACGAUGGCAUGCGUUUUUGUCCCAACGACCCUCGUUCGGUUAGUGCCCCCCGUUGUGGCGGGGGGCGCAAGGCUAAACUCGUAGCCUGGUCCGUUGCCCGCGUCGCGUCCGGCUCUCGUGGGGCAACGGAGCAGUGCUUAAGCCCUCGGAUAUGGAAAGCAUUGAGGGCAUUGACAUCUCGUCCUUGCCCCGAGCAUGCAUUAAGAUGGACCCCAACGCCGGUGCACGACUGUCUCUCCCGCCUCGGUUCGGCCGUGCGGGCAGGACGUCGCUGAGGAAUGCUACCUGGUUGAUCCUGCCAGUA